This is a non-coding RNA of Paramuricea clavata, 73 nucleotides long. The record is from the annotation of a GenBank genome assembly. NCBI's taxonomy places the organism in Eukaryota, Metazoa, Cnidaria, Anthozoa, Malacalcyonacea, Plexauridae.
GCAACAAAAAGGGUGAGCAUAUAAAAUAUUUAUUAUAAUAAUAAAUAUUUUAUAUGCUCACCCUUUUUGUUGC